This 465-nucleotide ribosomal RNA is filed under the name Vreelandella stevensii. Its description in RNAcentral is "partial 16S ribosomal RNA". It matches the Rfam family "Bacterial small subunit ribosomal RNA", at positions 338 to 795 of the family's 1533-position model. The record is from RNAcentral. Lineage: Bacteria; Pseudomonadati; Pseudomonadota; Gammaproteobacteria; Oceanospirillales; Halomonadaceae.
CCUACGGGUGGCAGCAGUGGGGAAUAUUGGACAAUGGGGGCAACCCUGAUCCAGCCAUGCCGCGUGUGUGAAGAAGGCCCUCGGGUUGUAAAGCACUUUCAGUGAGGAAGAACGCCUGGUGGUUAAUACCCAUCAGGAAAGACAUCACUCACAGAAGAAGCACCGGCUAACUCCGUGCCAGCAGCCGCGGUAAUACGGAGGGUGCGAGCGUUAAUCGGAAUUACUGGGCGUAAAGCGCGCGUAGGUGGCUUGAUAAGCCGGUUGUGAAAGCCCCGGGCUCAACCUGGGAACGGCAUCCGGAACUGUCAAGCUAGAGUGCAGGAGAGGAAGGUAGAAUUCGCGGUGUAGCGGUGAAAUGCGUAGAGAUCGGGAGGAAUACCAGUGGCGAAGGCGGCCUUCUGGACUGACACUGACACUGAGGUGCGAAAGCGUGGGUAGCAAACAGGAUUAGAUACCCCGGUAGUC